GGUAGUCCACGCCGUAAACGAUGGAUACUAGCUGUUGGAGGUAUCGACCCCUCCAGUAGCGAAGCUAACGCGUUAAGUAUCCCGCCUGUGGAGUACGGUCGCAAGACUAAAACAUAAAGGAAUUGACGGGACCCGCACAAGCGGUGGAUCGUGUUCUUUAAUUCGAUGAUAAACGAAGAACCUUACCAGGGUUUGACAUCCUUGGAAUUACUACGAAAGUAGUGAGUGCUUUAUUGAGCCAAGUGACAGAUGUUGCAUGGCCGUCGUCAGCUCGUGUCGUGAGAUGUUUGGUUAAG
Molecule: ribosomal RNA, 296 nt
Filed under: uncultured bacterium
Lineage: Bacteria
Description: partial 16S ribosomal RNA
Rfam family: Bacterial small subunit ribosomal RNA
Source: RNAcentral